RNAcentral lists this long non-coding RNA (4605 nucleotides) under Mus pahari (shrew mouse). RNAcentral describes it as "predicted gene 13479 (MGP_PahariEiJ_G0005443.1)". Lineage: Eukaryota; Metazoa; Chordata; Mammalia; Rodentia; Muridae. The record is from RNAcentral.
ACAUAUAUCCAGAUUAAACAACCAAGGCAGCCGCUCACCUUCCCUUAAAUCCAGUUUGGAUUGCAAGCAACAGUUAGAAGCUCAGAAAGGGACUGGAAGAACUGAGCAUUCUCAGUCCUUGUGGAAUAGCAGACAUCUGGAGAAGGGGCCAAAACAGCAGAUGAUGCACUUUCUCAAGGUCAUGUGGAACAUUUCUUUCAACAUUAGGCAAAAAAAGGAAGCUUCAUUUGUCCAGAAUGAUUAAAAAUACAAAGUAUGUUAGAUGAUUAAAUGGAAUUUGAAAUAAGUCAUAAAAAACUUAUAAACUUAAAAACACGUGAAUACUAAAUAACACAUUCCAGUUGUCAGUGUCAAACAGUGAAAACAAAAAUUAUAUCUAAAAAACCCUUGAAAUAUGUUAGGUGUCCUUAUAGCACAUACAUGAAAAUAUGUUCUUCAUUGGUUAUCUUCCCCAUUUUCCCCAAACUCCUGGUUCUUUCAUAUUUUUUCAUCUCCUGUCCCGUCCCCUUACCUUAAUGUCCUGUGUGUCAUUACCUUAGCCUUUCUAAAGCUUCAUCCUUCCUUGUUGUCCCCUUUUAUUUUAUGACUGUUUCUUUGAUUUUUCUGAAAUAGAUAUUGAUAGCUGUAAAUUUCCUUUUAGAACUGUUUUCAAUGAACCACAGAGUUUCUGGUAUCUGGCAUUUUAUCUAUAACUCAUUUUAGGAAUUUUUAAGUUCUCACCUGAUGUGUUUAAUAAGCCAUUUAAUAAUUUGUUCAAUAUCCUUGAAUUUGUUUAUCUUUUAUUACUUCCUUGAUGUAAAUAGUUUUUCAACUGAAAUUAUAUAAAGUAGAAGAUAUUCUUUCUAUAAUUCUUAUAGGUGUUAAGAUUCAUUAUGUGUUCUAAAAUGUGGUCUACUUUACAAAAAGUUCCAUAAACUGCCAAGAAGAAAAUAUUUCUGCUGUUUUGUGUGAAAUAUUUGUAAAAUGUGUUUGAUCUAAUAAUUUUGAUGUCAUUUUCUUUUAUUUUUGUGAGAGUUGGGUAUUUAUUGAAACCUCUCAUUGUAUUUAGCUCAACUAUGACUUUACAUCAAAACUACUCAUUUUAUAAAGUUAGUUACACUAAUAUUUAGUGAAUAUAUGUUUAGAAUUGGAACAUUUUCUUAAUAGAUUAGAACCUUUAUUAACUUGUAGAAAGAUAUCUAUGAGUUCAAAUCUCACAAAGCAAUCAAAGUGAAUUAUCUAUUCAUCUAUUCAACUCUCAAAAUGAAUUUUAAGGCAUCAAAUUGAUCCUUGAAAAGACACACCAAGGUUGGACAGUAUAAUGAACAAAUUGUGGUACCAGUAUUAGGAUACACAUGUAAAACUAUGGAAACCAGUUAAACCAGUCCAAACCUAAGUUUUAAAACCAUAAAACACUUAGAAGGUGGGCAUAAAUGUCAGAACCUUAGAUUUGAUAGUGAAUUUCCUCUUAUGGAACCAAAAGCAUGAGCAACAGAAAAGAGAACCAGCAUGUAGAUCUUACUUAAAACUGGCUCUCAAGGUAGUGAAACUACAACCCAUAGUGGACACAUAAUGUCUAUCUAGUAAGGGAAUUGAAUCUAGAAAACAUACAGAAGUCUUACAGCAUCAUAAUAAAAAGACCCAAUUUUAAAUAAUGGUCAAAUAAAUGUAAUAGACAAUCUAGUAAAGAGAUAUACAAAUAGAUAAUAAACACACAAACAACAUUCUGUCUUAUUAGUCUUCAGGGAAAUAUAAGUCAACAAUUGCAAAAAGGCACUACUUCAUAACCUACUUGGACGUCUGUAUUAAAAUGUCAGAUGAUAGCAAGAGAGGAUGAGCAUAACUCAGAAUCCUCAUACACUGUGAGGAGGCUAUAAAUUAGUGCAGCCUCAUCCUGGUAUGAAAAUAUCCUAGUGAUUCUUCAAAUGCUUAAUUACAGAGUAACCAUAUAAUGGCAUAAUCUCACUUCUUGAUAUGCAUCUAAGAAAAAUGCAAAAAAAAAUAGUUGCAGAAAAUGUUUCUAGCAACAUUAUUUACAAUAGCCAGAAAGUUGAGAUCAUUAAAAUAUCUAUGAACUGAUGAAUCAAUAAGCAAAUAUGGUCUACCCAUGUACCAUAAGAUUAUUAUUCAUUCAUGUUUCAACAUGAAAAAGUUUCUGAAACUCUAUGCUAAGUAAAUAAUGUCAUUAGUAAUGUAUGGCUCCAUUUUUGUAAAAUGUAAAGAAUAGGAAAUGUAUAGACACUAAAAGUAGGGUGCUAUAUAAAAUUGGGAAGAUGGAAGGAAAGAUAUACUAUAUAUUAUUUUUAUGUGAGGUAGUAAAAAUGGUCAAAACUAGUUGUGAUGAUUGUUGAAAAAACAUCAAAUCCACUGAAUUAUAAACUUGAAAGUAUCAACUGUUUGUUAUAUAAAUUAUAUAUCAAUAGUGCUAAUAUAAAAAAAUACACAUGUUAACAUCUCACCUAGACAUACUGUUUUAGAUGUAUUCAUGUAGCUAGACCAGGAUUAAGAAAUAGUAUCAGCUUUAACAGACAAAAUAAGAUAACAAAAACUUAAUAUGAGAUGCCAAGGUCUUAACUCAAAAUCUUUAAAUUGUGAUUGCUGACUGGCGUAACUGAGUGAAAAUAUAUACCACAGCUGUCUAAGACUUUAAUAAAUGAAUAUUUCUAAUAGAUCAAUAGUUACAGCCUUACAGAAUUCUUUUCCAACUCAUUCAUUCAUUCAUUCAUUCGUUCAUGAACUAAAGUAAAUUAUUUAUUCACUUUACAUCCAGAUCCUAUCCUUCCCUCUUUUCGCAGUCUCCCUUCAAACAGCCCCUCCUCCAUACUCGCCUUUCUUUCUCCUCUGAGAAGGGGGAGGCCCUGUUUUUGUGCUUGUUCUUUUGCUUACUUCAAGUCUUUUUCAGGGUUUGCUCAGGAUAGUGGUAUACCAUCCCUGGGUACCAAUCCACCCUGGUACAUCAAGUCACUCAGGACUAGGUACAACCUCUCCCACUGAGGCCAGACAAUUCCAGUCCAUGUAUGCUCUUUGGUUGUUGGUUCAGUCUCUGGGAGCCCUCAAACGUCCAGGUUAGUUGAUUCUGUUUGUCUUCUUGUGACGUUCCUAUCCCUUCUUGGUCCCUCAGUCCUUCCCCCCAACUCUUCCACAAGACUCCCUGAGCUAUAUAUAAUGUUUACCUGUGGGUCUCUGUGUCUGUUGUGGUCAGCUUCUAGGUGGAGCCUCUCAGAGGACAGUUAUACUAGGCUCCUGUCUGUAAGCAUAACAGGGUAUCAUUAACAGUGUCAGGGAUUGGUUCUUGUACUACUCUACAGUUGGCCCAUCAGGGUUCUACAAGUGUAUGUGACAACUUUAGGUCUGUCUACUGUUUGCCUAUUUUAAUAUAAGCGUCUAUUAAUGCUCUUUUUGUUCUUGUAUUCAUAUCAGUGUAGAGGAAGUAAAGCGUUAUCUUCUUCACAGUCAUGGGACCACCAGGAACUACCUUAACUUGAAUAAAGAAAAACAUAACAACAUAGUAACAUUAAUCUCAAAAAAGUAAGUGAAAUGUCGCUUUUGGGAGGCAAGACUGAGUUCCAUGUGCAGAAAGAAGGGAGUGUGUGUGACUAUGACGAAUGACCAGAAAGACAGAGAGAAGAUGGAAUCAGUACCUAGAUAAAAACAGAAACUUCAUAGUUCUUGCUUAGGUCAUGCAGCUUCAUUUUCCUGUCUGUCUUACAUUUAAUUGUUGCAUCACGAUAGGUUCUAGCUAGAAGACCCUUGGUUGUCGUAUCCUGCCCCAUUAAGACUUAUUGCACAUAUUUUCCAUUCUUUUCUCCCCUCUCUGCUGGCUUGUAGGGACUCAUCUCUAGGGUGAUCAUGGAAGCAUCUCACAACAGUAAUUAUUCUCCAUCAUGCAGGUCCUUAAAGGAUACCGUGGAGCAGUGCUUCACCCACAUGGCUUACCAUUGGGGCAUUAUUUAUGUUGCAAGAAUUUGCAUCAUUAAUCUGCCUCAAAAUGGCCUCCACUGACUUAUACAUAAUUCUCAACAUUUAAUUCCCCCCCUGAACCCACUGAGUGUGAUACAUGUUUAUCUCUGAGUAAACAUUUUCCCUUUCUGGUUCAUAUAUACUCUAUAGAUAAAGGAUUUAAUUCCUUGACUGUUUAAGGAAUGGAAGGAGUUCCAUCUUGAGUUUUGUGUCUUUCUUCUUGCAUUACUGGUGGCUUCUUUUCUGGAACCCUUAGUUAAAUUUGUGGUAUAUAUGCAAUUUAUAUUGUAUUAAUCUGAGAAACAUAAACAUAUUGCUCUCUAGGAAGUUUAAGCACAGUUGGGGGGGGCAGGCUAGAUAAGUACAUACUAUGUCCAUUUCAUUUUCUUUCCUCAUGUGAUACAUUUAACAACGUUUUUGUGUGUGAAUGAGAAGAAAUGUAUUUAGAUCUUCAACAGUCAGUCUGGAUUUGUAGAUGUUUUAAUAGAUUUGGAUUACCAUUCAAUAAAUUUGAUGGAUAACUGCAGAAGCAACUAAGAAUAGUAUUCCAAACAUGGCCUAUAUACAACUUUAAUUUGGCCCUCAUUUCAUAUUGGUAGUAUAUUGUAGCAUUCCCCCAAUCUUUCAACUUGCAAUGCUAGAAAAAAAUUCUGGAAAGUCUUGAGA